RNAcentral lists this ribosomal RNA (402 nucleotides) under uncultured bacterium. RNAcentral's name for it is "bacterial SSU rRNA". It matches the Rfam family "Bacterial small subunit ribosomal RNA", at positions 355 to 773 of the family's 1533-position model. The record is from RNAcentral.
UGAGGAAUAUUGCACAAUGGGCGAAAGCCUGAUGCAGCAACGCCGCGUGAGGGACGAAGGCCUUCGGGUCGUAAACCUCUUUUCUGGGGGACGAGUAAGGACGGUACUCCAGGAAUAAGUCUCGGCUAACUACGUGCCAGCAGCCGCGGUAAAACGUAGGAGGCGAGCGUUAUCCGGAUUUACUGGGCGUAAAGCGUACGCAGGUGGCUUCGUUAGUCGGACAUGAACGCUCCUGGCUUAACUGGGAGAGGUUGUUCGAUACUGCGGGGCUUGAGGUUGGGAGAGGGACGAGGAAUUCCCGGUGUAGUGGUGGAAUGCGUAGAUAUCGGGAGGAACACCAGUGGCGCAAGUGGCGUCCUGGCCCACACCUGACGCUGAGGGACGAAAGCGUGGGUAGCAAAC